GAUGAACGCUGGCGGCGUGCCUAAUACAUGCAAGUCGAGCGAACGGACGAGAAGCUUGCUUCUCUGAUGUUAGCGGCGGACGGGUGAGUAACACGUGUAUAACCUACCUAUAAGACUGGGAUAACUUCGGGAAACCGGAGCUAAUACCGUAUAAUAUUUUGAACCGCAUGGUUCAAAAGUGAAAGGCGGUCUUGCUGUCACUUAUAGAUGGAUCCGCGCUUCAUUAGCUAGUUGGUAAGGUAACGGCUUACCAAGGCAACGAUGCAUAGCCGACCUAAGAGGGGGAUCGGCCACACUGGAACUGAGACACGGUCCAGACUCCUACGGGAGGCAGCAGUAGGGAAUCUUCCGCAAUGGGCGAAAGCCUGACGGAGCAACGCCGAGCGAGUGAUGAAGGUCUUCGGAUCGUAAAAAUCGGUUAUUAGGGAAGAACAUAUGUGUAAGUAACUGUGCACAUCUUGACGGUAACUAAUCAGAAAGCCACGGCUAACUACGUG
This 497-nucleotide ribosomal RNA is filed under the name uncultured bacterium. Its description in RNAcentral is "partial 16S ribosomal RNA". It matches the Rfam family "Bacterial small subunit ribosomal RNA", at positions 28 to 507 of the family's 1533-position model. The record is from RNAcentral.